GUGUCUUAUGAUGAAGCUUCAUAGGGCAGAUUCUGAGCUGAGAAAUUAAAUUUCUCUUCACUGAUACUGUCUAUAUGCCAUCUGAAGACAC
Molecule: small nucleolar RNA, 91 nt
Filed under: Chlamydotis macqueenii (Macqueen's bustard)
Lineage: Eukaryota; Metazoa; Chordata; Aves; Otidiformes; Otididae
Description: Chlamydotis undulata macqueenii Small nucleolar RNA SNORD90
Rfam family: Small nucleolar RNA SNORD90
About the family: snoRNA HBII-295 belongs to the family of C/D snoRNAs. It is the human orthologue of the mouse MBII-295 and has no identified RNA target.
Source: Rfam by way of RNAcentral